UACGUAGGGUGCGAGCGUUAAUCGGAAUUACUGGGCGUAAAGCGUGCGCAGGCGGUGAUGUAAGACCGAUGUGAAAUCCCCGGGCUUAACCUGGGAACUGCGUUGGAGACUGCAAGGCUUGAAUCUGGCAGAGGGGGGUAGAAUUCCACGUGUAGCAGUGAAAUGCGUAGAGAUGUGGAGGAACACCGAUGGCGAAGGCAGCCCCCUGGGUCAAGAUUGACGCUCAUGCACGAAAGCGUGGGGAGCAAACAGG
Molecule: ribosomal RNA, 253 nt
Filed under: uncultured bacterium
Lineage: Bacteria
Description: partial 16S ribosomal RNA
Rfam family: Bacterial small subunit ribosomal RNA
Source: RNAcentral